UGGCAUAGUGGUUAAGUGCUAUGGCUUACAACCCAAAGGUCGGUGGUUCAAAUCCACC
Molecule: transfer RNA, 58 nt
Filed under: Loxodonta africana (African savanna elephant)
Lineage: Eukaryota; Metazoa; Chordata; Mammalia; Proboscidea; Elephantidae
Rfam family: tRNA
About the family: Transfer RNA (tRNA) molecules are approximately 80 nucleotides in length. Their secondary structure includes four short double-helical elements and three loops (D, anti-codon, and T loops).
Source: Rfam by way of RNAcentral